UACGUAGGGUGCGAGCGUUAAUCGGAAUUACUGGGCGUAAAGCGUGCGCAGGCGGCUUGCCAAGUCAGAUGUGAAAGCCCCGGGCUCAACCCGGGAACUGCGUUUGAAACUGGCAGGCUAGAGUUUGGCAGAGGGGGGUGGAAUUCCACGUGUAGCAGUGAAAUGCGUAGAGAUGUGGAGGAACACCGAUGGCGAAGGCAGCCCCCUGGGCCAAAACUGACGCUCAGGCACGAAAGCGUGGGGAGCAAACAGG
RNAcentral lists this ribosomal RNA (253 nucleotides) under uncultured bacterium. RNAcentral's name for it is "partial 16S ribosomal RNA". It matches the Rfam family "Bacterial small subunit ribosomal RNA", at positions 524 to 776 of the family's 1533-position model. The record is from RNAcentral.